AGUGAACGCUGGCGGUAGGCCUAACACAUGCAAGUCGAACGGCAGCACAGUAAGAGCUUGCUCUUACGGGUGGCGAGUGGCGGACGGGUGAGGAAUACAUCGGAAUCUACUUUUUCGUGGGGGAUAACGUAGGGAAACUUACGCUAAUACCGCAUACGACCUACGGGUGAAAGCAGGGGAUCUUCGGACCUUGAGCGAUUGAAUGAGCCGAUGUCGGAUUAGCUAGUUGGCGGGGUAAAGGCCCACCAAGGCGACGAUCCGUAGCUGGUCUGAGAGGAUGAUCAGCCACACUGGAACUGAGACACGGUCCAGACUCCUACGGGAGGCAGCAGUGGGGAAUAUUGGACAAUGGGCGCAAGCCUGGUCCAGCCAUACCGCGUGGGUGAAGAAGGCCUUCGGGUUGUAAAGCCCUUUUGUUGGGAAAGAAAAGCAGCAGGUUAAUACCCCGCUGUUCUGACGGUACCCAAAGAAUAAGCACCGGCUAACUUCGUG
This 492-nucleotide ribosomal RNA is filed under the name uncultured bacterium. Its description in RNAcentral is "partial 16S ribosomal RNA". It matches the Rfam family "Bacterial small subunit ribosomal RNA", at positions 29 to 507 of the family's 1533-position model. The record is from RNAcentral.